This 115-nucleotide non-coding RNA is filed under the name Crystallibacter crystallopoietes. RNAcentral's name for it is "Arthrobacter crystallopoietes SAM-I sequence". It matches the Rfam family "SAM riboswitch aptamer (S box leader)". From Rfam's summary of the family: The SAM riboswitch is found upstream of a number of genes which code for proteins involved in methionine or cysteine biosynthesis in Gram-positive bacteria. The SAM riboswitch acts at the level of transcription termination control. The predicted structure consists of a complex stem-loop region followed by a single stem loop terminator region. Lineage: Bacteria; Bacillati; Actinomycetota; Actinomycetes; Micrococcales; Micrococcaceae. The record is from Rfam by way of RNAcentral.
GACCCAUCCCGAGCGGCCGAGAGACCUGGAUCGAUGAAGCCGCAGCAACCCGCCCCCUUGCACAAGCCGUCAGGCUGACCACGGGCAACGGUGCUACUGCCAGGACCGAUGGAAA